Molecule: ribosomal RNA, 389 nt
Filed under: uncultured bacterium
Lineage: Bacteria
Description: bacterial SSU rRNA
Rfam family: Bacterial small subunit ribosomal RNA
Source: RNAcentral
GACGAACGCUGGCGGCGUGCUUAACACAUGCAAGUCGAGCGGUAAGGCCCUUUCGGGGGUACGACGAGCGGCGAACGGGUGAGUAACACGCGGGUGACCUGCCUUUAGUCUCUGGGAGUAAGCCUGGGAAACUAGGGUCUAAUACCGGAUAUGACUCCGCGGUGCAUGCUGUGGGGUGGAAAGCCUUGUGCGGCUGGAGAUGGCCCGCGGCCUAUCAGCUUGUUGGUGGGGUGAUGGCCUACCAAGGCGACGACGGUAGCCGCCUGAGAGGGCGACCGGCCACACUGGGACUGAGACACGGCCCAGACUCCUACGGGAGGCAGCAGUGGGGAAUCUUGCGCAAUGGGCGAAAGCCUGACGCAGCGACGCCGCGUGAGGGAUGACGGCCU